This is an RNA transcript of Monodelphis domestica (gray short-tailed opossum), 2916 nucleotides long. It is a transcript of the gene named coiled-coil domain containing 61, with no coding region annotated. Lineage: Eukaryota; Metazoa; Chordata; Mammalia; Didelphimorphia; Didelphidae. The record is from RefSeq and is a predicted model, not a curated record.
GGGGUUCCGAGGGGCUGAAGCGGUGCAGUUUGGGUUGGUUUCCUCGGGCUCGGGAGGGAGGACGAUCCAAGGGGAGGGCGUGAUGGGGUAGCCAGCCGCCGGUAUAGCAGGACCCGGCUUCUCUAUAGCUGGUCCUUGCUUUUGUGAGUUCUAUCUUCUGGAUGCUUGUCUCGCCGCAUCCAUAUAGCAGGUCCCAGCUAAUGUUUCAGCAGGGCUCCCUAGUAGGCCCUAACUCACUAAUAACAGGCCCCAACUUGUAGUAGAUUCCUGUUUAUGAAUUGUUAAUAUUAUCAUUACUUCCUCCUGUAAGUCCUCCUCUGCUUAUGCAUAUAUAUCAUAGCCCUGCUUCCGAGUAGCAGGUUCUCCUUUCUUUGUAGUAGACCCCAACUCACUUAUAGUAAGUCUCUGCUUAUGUAUCCUACAUUUCUGUUUCUGUAUAACAGCUGAUUUUCCUAUAGAGUAGGACCAUUAGCUGGCUAGAAACAGCUAGAUGGCUCUGUAGAUAAAAAGCUGGAACUGGAGUCAAGACCUGAGUUCAAACCCAGCCUCAAUUUAUUGGCUGUGUGACCCCAGACAAGUCACUUAACUUCUGCCUGCCUCGGUAUCCUCCCCUGUAUAAUGAGAUAAUAGCAUUUAUCUCCUGGGUUUCUCUGAGGAUAAGAAUUAAUAUUUGUUAAAACACUUUGCAUUAUCAUUGUAGUUCAAAGUGGAGGUCUCUUAGUUCUGCUUUCCCUACCCCAGCCAUGUGUCUCUUUAUUCCUUCCUCGGUGUUUCUAUCUCUUGCUUUUUGCUCUCUGCCUCUCUAUAUUUCCUGUGAUCACUCCUCCUUGGAUUAGAUGGGCUAGAAUAUUGGGAUUUCAGAAUAUUGGAAUAUCUGAAAUUACAUGGAAUUCUGGGAAGAAAGGAGUCAGAAAUAACAGCCAAAAAGGAGAGGGAGAUAACAAAGGAAUGCUAUAGGAAGGAACAAAGAAUAGAUAAAGGCAGAGAGCUAUAUGGCCAGAAUACAGAAUAAAAGAGAGAAGGACAAAAAUUGAAGGAAAGAGAGGCUUACUGUGCACAAAGGAGAGGAACAAGAGUCUUAACUCUUCACUCUCUUUGGAAGGCAGAGGGAGUUGGAGAAAUAAGAUGGAUGAGAGCUGGAAAGUUGGAAAGUCUGGUCCAAUUCCCUGAUUUUCGCAAUGGGGAACCAGACCCAAUAAGAGAAUAUGCCAACGUUCUAUGGUCUUCAUUCUCUCCCAACUCUGACCUUCUGUUCCAUGUUCUCAGUAUACCUUUAGUCUUGACAUUCUGCAUUCACUUUUCUGCUUUGGCUAGUUGUAAUGAUGAUUUCAAUAGUUGGUAUGAAUAGCACUUCAAAGUUUGCAGAGAACUUUACAAAUAUUAUUUCAUUUGAUCCUCAGGACAGGUACUAUGAUUAUCUCCAUUUUUCAGAAGCAAAUAGGUUAAGUGAUUGGCCCAGGUCAUACAGCUGGUCAAGUCAGCAUGGAUCAGCCAUCAGGGCUUCAGGUGGACUAUACCUUCCGGGGGGUGGAGCAUGUCGUCCGCUUGGCUGUCAGUGGGGAGGUUCUGGAGCUUGAGGUGGAGGACAGACUGACCACUGACCAGUGGCGUGGAGAGUUCGAUUCUGCUUUCAUUGAAGACUUGACCCACAAGACUGGCAACUUCAAACAGUUUAGCAUCUUCUGCAGCAUGCUGGAGUCGGCCCUUAUGCAGAGCAGCGAGUCAGUCACCCUGGAUCUACUGACCUACACAGACCUCGAGGCCCUUCGGCACCGCAAGGUGGGGCCCCGGCCCGGGCCCUCAGCCCCACGCUCAGCUCAGCUCAACUCCAAGCGUUACCUCAUCCUGAUCUACUCAGUUGAGUUUGACAGAAUCCAUUACCCACUGCCCCUGCCAUACCAGGGCAAGCCGGACCCUGUGGUUCUUCAGGGCAUCAUUCGGUCCCUGAAGGAGGAGCUGGCGGAGCUGCGGUCCCGGGGCGGCCGGGAUGCUGAAAUUCGCCACCUUCGGGAGCAGCUGACCCGGGCAGUAAGUGAGAAGAGAGAGCUGGAGGUCGCCCUGGACCGGGCCCGAGAAGAAGCAGGAGGCCGGGCCACGACUCACCAGGAGGUGGCUGUGCUCAAAACCAUGGUGGCCAACCUGGAAGAAGAACUGAGACGGGAGCGGGGCCAGCAUCACCGGACGGCCGGGCGGCGGGGCCAGGAGUGCCGGCGCCUGACCCAAGAGCUGGAAGAGGUGAAGUCGUCGGAGCGGAGCCUCCGGGCCAGGCUGAAGUGCCUGUCCAGCGAGCUGGCCCUGUACAAGCGAGGGAGGCGGACCCCAUCUUCAGGACAGGUGUCUCAGCCCCGAAAGGAGCAGCGGCGGACCAUGUCUCAGGAGAGGAGCCUGUCCUGGGGCCGAGUGCCCCCCCGCUCCUCAUCCCAGGAAAGCAGCCGGGGUCGCAGGCCUUCCCGGCCCUCUCCAUCCCCGCCAGGCAUCCGGGCGCCCCGCUUUGACCCCACUGCCUUUGUAAAGGCCAAAGAGCGAAAGCAGAGGGAGCUCAAGUUGAAAAACCAGCAAAGGAACCGGCUAGGGACCGGGGAAGGCUCGGGGAGCUGGGGCCGCAGCCGGACCCGUGGUUCGUGCCAGAUGUCUCGAGAGGAAAGGGCCCCCAGGAGCCGGACACGAAGCUCCUCGGGUAAGGGAGGCCUGGACAUCCGGGUCCUCCAGGAGUUAUCCAGGCUACGGCUGGGCCAUCAGUGAGGGGCCUGGGCUUUCCUUCCCGUCCCCCCAGUGGAGAGCUUUCGGAGCCGUCACUCAUCGCUCAGUUCAGCCAGUGAAUUUGAGGAUUUCUCCAACGCAACUUCGCGAGGCCUUCGGAGGCAGCCCCGAGGUCGGAAGCCCCUGAGCCCCUCCUCCUGGAAUGGCUCUGCAGAG